AGUAGUACAUCGGAACGUGUCUUCUAGUGGGGGAUAACUGCCCGAAAGGGCAGCUAAUACCGCAUGAGACCUGAGGGUGAAAGCGGGGGAUCGCAAGACCUCGCGCUGGAAGAGCGGCCGAUGUCCGAUUAGCUAGUUGGUGAGGUAAAGGCUCACCAAGGCGACGAUCGGUAGCUGGUCUGAGAGGACGACCAGCCACACUGGGACUGAGACACGGCCCAG
Molecule: ribosomal RNA, 222 nt
Filed under: uncultured bacterium
Lineage: Bacteria
Description: partial 16S ribosomal RNA
Rfam family: Bacterial small subunit ribosomal RNA
Source: RNAcentral